GGGUAACAGGAGUGCUUGCACUCGCUGACGACCGGCGCACGGGUGCGUAACGCGUAUAGAACCUACCUUUUACUGAGGGAUAGCCUUUAGAAAUGAAGAUUAAUACCUCAUGGUAUUGCAAUUUGGCAUCAGAUUGUAAUUAAAGAUUUAUUGGUAAAAGAUGGCUAUGCGUCUUAUUAGCUAGAUGGUAAGGUAACGGCUUACCAUGGCAACGAUAAGUAGGGGCCCUGAGAGGGGGAUCCCCCACACUGGUACUGAGACACGGACCAGACUCCUACGGGAGGCAGCAGUGAGGAAUAUUGGGCAAUGGAGGCAACUCUGACCCAGCCAUGCCGCGUGCAGGAAGACUGCCCUAUGGGUUGUAAACUGCUUUUAUACAGGAAGAAACACACCUACGUGUAGGUGCUUGACGGUACUGUAAGAAUAAGCACCGG
Molecule: ribosomal RNA, 434 nt
Filed under: uncultured Flavobacteriaceae bacterium
Lineage: Bacteria; Pseudomonadati; Bacteroidota; Flavobacteriia; Flavobacteriales; Flavobacteriaceae
Description: bacterial SSU rRNA
Rfam family: Bacterial small subunit ribosomal RNA
Source: RNAcentral